Lolium rigidum is the source of this 272-nucleotide long non-coding RNA. RefSeq lists it as uncharacterized. NCBI's taxonomy places the organism in Eukaryota, Viridiplantae, Streptophyta, Magnoliopsida, Poales, Poaceae. The transcript is spliced from 3 exons. The record is from RefSeq and is a predicted model, not a curated record.
CGGCACGCGACCCGGCAAGGGAAGGGCCGGCGACCUUGAGCGGGCGAGCAGCAGCUGCCGGAGCGUGGGGCUCUCCGGCUCUGCGGGCCGCACGAGGUCCAGCGCCAGCAGGAAGCAGUGUAAAGUUGUUUGGUGAUAAUGGAACCAAAGCAUUCCGGUGAAAUGUCCAGGCAUUUGGACAAGCAAAAUCAUGUCCUUAUGGAAACAUAUCGAGCAAUGUCCCAUGAGUUGCAUACACUACAAGUGAGCCUCAGAUACUACGAAUCUUCUAU